This 620-nucleotide ribosomal RNA is filed under the name uncultured bacterium. Its description in RNAcentral is "bacterial SSU rRNA". It matches the Rfam family "Bacterial small subunit ribosomal RNA", at positions 338 to 954 of the family's 1533-position model. The record is from RNAcentral.
CCUACGGGAGGCAGCAGUGGGGAAUUUUGGACAAUGGGCGAAAGCCUGAUCCAGCAAUGCCGCGUGAGUGAAGAAGGCCUUCGGGUUGUAAAGCUCUUUUGUCAGGGAAGAAACGGUGAGGGCUAAUAUCCCUUGCUAAUGACGGUACCUGAAGAAUAAGCACCGGCUAACUACGUGCCAGCAGCCGCGGUAAUACGUAGGGUGCAAGCGUUAAUCGGAAUUACUGGGCGUAAAGCGUGCGCAGGCGGUUUUGUAAGUCUGUCGUGAAAUCCCCGGGCUCAACCUGGGAAUUGCGAUGGAGACUGCAAGGCUAGAAUCUGGCAGAGGGGGGUAGAAUUCCACGUGUAGCAGUGAAAUGCGUAGAGAUGUGGAGGAACACCGAUGGCGAAGGCAGCCCCCUGGGUCAAGAUUGACGCUCAUGCACGAAAGCGUGGGGAGCAAACAGGAUUAGAUACCCUGGUAGUCCACGCCCUAAACGAUGUCUACUAGUUGUCGGGUUUUAAUUAACUUGGUAACGCAGCUAACGCGUGAAGUAGACCGCCUGGGGAUACGGUCGCAAGAUUAAAACUCAAAUGAAAUUGACCGGNUGAGAGNGCGACGGACGACGACGAGGGAGGAGG